Molecule: unclassified non-coding RNA, 201 nt
Filed under: Hevea brasiliensis (rubber tree)
Lineage: Eukaryota; Viridiplantae; Streptophyta; Magnoliopsida; Malpighiales; Euphorbiaceae
Source: RNAcentral
GCAUUAUCAACAUGUUUGUACUACGGCAAGUCCUUAAGCCGUAUCGAGUUUCGUUUUUGUUUUCCUAAAAGAGACUUACAAAAUAUUCAUGAUACUAGAAAGUCAAUCGCCAGAAUAAGCAUUUCAGCGGGCCUCAUACUGAACAAUGCGACGGGUGCGCUUCUUGUAGAGAAUACGAUAACCACACUCUCGGCACUGUAU